Molecule: ribosomal RNA, 1391 nt
Filed under: Stenotrophomonas maltophilia
Lineage: Bacteria; Pseudomonadati; Pseudomonadota; Gammaproteobacteria; Lysobacterales; Lysobacteraceae
Description: bacterial LSU rRNA
Rfam family: Bacterial large subunit ribosomal RNA
Source: RNAcentral
UCUAAGACCGAGCACCGAGACGAGCCUUUAUGGCGAAGUCACUGAUACCACGCUUCCAGGAAAAGCUCCUAAGCUUCAGCUUACGCAGACCGUACCGUAAACCGACACAGGUGGGUAGGAUGAGAAUUCUCAGGCGCUUGAGAGAACUCGGGUGAAGGAACUAGGCAACAUGGCACCGUAACUUCGGGAGAAGGUGCACCCUUUUUGGUGGCUCGUGCGAGCUAUAGCUGAAGAGGGUCGCAGUAACCAGGCCGCUGCGACUGUUUAUCAAAAACACAGCACUCUGCAAACACGAAAGUGGACGUAUAGGGUGUGACGCCUGCCCGGUGCUGGAAGGUUAAUUGAUGGGGUCAGCCGCAAGGCGAAGCUCUUGAUCGAAGCCCCAGUAAACGGCGGCCGUAACUAUAACGGUCCUAAGGUAGCGAAAUUCCUUGUCGGGUAAGUUCCGACCUGCACGAAUGGCGUAACGACAGCGGCGCUGUCUCCACCCGAGACUCAGUGAAAUUGAAAUCGCUGUGAAGAUGCAGCGUUCCCGUGGCAAGACGGAAAGACCCCGUGAACCUUUACUAUAGCUUUACACUGAACGUUGAGUUCGUCUGUGUAGGAUAGGUGGGAGGCUAUGAAACCAUGGCGCUAGCUGUGGCGGAGCCAUCCUUGAAAUACCACCCUGUCGUGCUUGACGUUCUAACCUGGGCCCAUUAUCUGGGUCGGGGACCGUGUAUGGUGGGUAGUUUGACUGGGGCGGUCUCCUCCUAAAGAGUAACGGAGGAGCUCGAAGGUACGCUCAGCGCGGUCGGACAUCGCGCACUGUGUGCAAAGGCAUAAGCGUGCUUGACUGCAAGAUCGACGGAUCAAGCAGGUAGGAAACUAGGACUUAGUGAUCCGGUGGUUCUGUAUGGAAGGGCCAUCGCUCAACGGAUAAAAGGUACUCCGGGGAUAACAGGCUGAUACCGCCCAAGAGUUCAUAUCGACGGCGGUGUUUGGCACCUCGAUGUCGGCUCAUCACAUCCUGGGGCUGUAGUCGGUCCCAAGGGUAUGGCUGUUCGCCAUUUAAAGUGGUACGCGAGCUGGGUUCAGAACGUCGUGAGACAGUUCGGUCCCUAUCUGCCAUGGGCGUUGGAGAUUUGAGAGGGGCUGCUCCUAGUACGAGAGGACCGGAGUGGACGAACCUCUGGUGUUCCGGUUGUCACGCCAGUGGCAUUGCCGGGUAGCUAUGUUCGGAAGCGAUAACCGCUGAAAGCAUCUAAGCGGGAAGCGCGCCUCAAGAUGAGAUCUCCCGGGGCACAAGCCCCCUGAAGGAACCAUGUAGACUACGUGGUUGAUAGGUCAGGUGUGUAAGUACAGCAAUGUAUUGAGCUAACUGAUACUAAUGAUCCGAGAGGCUUGACCAU